GGACUACUGGGGUAUCUAAUCCUGUUUGCUCCCCACGCUUUCGUGCCUCAGCGUCAGUGUUGAUCCAGAUGGCCGCCUUCGCCACUGAUGUUCCUCCCGAUCUCUACGCAUUUCACCGCUACACCGGGAAUUCCACCAUCCUCUAUCACACUCUAGCUUGCCAGUAUCCAUUGCCAUUCCCAGGUUGAGCCCGGGGCUUUCACAACAGACUUAACAAACCGCCUACGCACGCUUUACGCCCAGUAAUUCCGAUUAACGCUUGCACCCUCCGUAUUACCGCGGCUGCUGGCAC
This 292-nucleotide ribosomal RNA is filed under the name uncultured bacterium. Its description in RNAcentral is "partial 16S ribosomal RNA". The record is from RNAcentral.